RNAcentral lists this ribosomal RNA (433 nucleotides) under uncultured bacterium. RNAcentral describes it as "partial 16S ribosomal RNA". It matches the Rfam family "Bacterial small subunit ribosomal RNA", at positions 29 to 507 of the family's 1533-position model. The record is from RNAcentral.
AACGAACGCUGGCGGCAUGCCUAAUACAUGCAAGUCGAACGAGACCUUCGGGUCUAGGGGCUCACGGGUGCGGAAGGCGUGGGAACCUGCCCAUAGGGUCGGAACAUCUCUCUGAAAGGGGUGCUAAUACCGGAUAAUGUCUUUGUACCCAAGAUUUAUCGCUCUUGCAUGCGACCGCGUUGGAUUAGCUAGUUGGUAGGGUAAAAGUCUACCAAGGCGACGAUCCAUAGUUGGUCUGAGAGGCUGCUUCGCCACUCUGGGAGUGAGAGACGGCCCGGACUCCUCCGUGAGGCAGCAGUGGGGAAUAGUGGCCACUGGGGGCAUGUCUGCUCUAGCAGUGCCGCGUCAGUGCUGAUGUCGUUAGGGUUGUAAUGCUCUUUUACCCGGUAUGGUAAUGACCGUACCGGGCCAGACAGCUACGGCUAACUCCGUG